RNAcentral lists this ribosomal RNA (366 nucleotides) under uncultured bacterium. RNAcentral's name for it is "partial 16S ribosomal RNA". It matches the Rfam family "Bacterial small subunit ribosomal RNA", at positions 338 to 701 of the family's 1533-position model. The record is from RNAcentral.
CCUACGGGCGGCAGCAGUGAGGAAUAUUGGUCAAUGGGCGCGAGCCUGAACCAGCCAAGUAGCGUGAAGGAUGACUGCCCUACGGGUUGUAAACUUCUGUUAUAAAGGAAUAAAGUGAGGCACGUGUGCCUUUUUGUAUGUACUUUAUGAAUAAGGAUCGGCUAACUCCGUGCCAGCAGCCGCGGUAAUACGGAGGAUCCGAGCGUUAUCCGGAUUUAUUGGGUUUAAAGGGAGCGUAGAGGGGUUGUUAAGUCAGUUGUGAAAGUUUGCGGCUCAACCGUAAAAUUGCAAUUGAUACUGGCAGUCUUGCGUACAGUUGAGGUCGGCGGACUUCGUGGUGUAGCGGUGACAUGCUUAGAUCUCACG